RNAcentral lists this non-coding RNA (103 nucleotides) under unclassified sequences. RNAcentral describes it as "L4-Archaeoglobi ribosomal protein leader". It matches the Rfam family "L4-Archaeoglobi ribosomal protein leades". The record is from RNAcentral.
CUGAAGAGCGCGUUCGGGUCACUUGCGGACUGCAACACCCGAUCUCUCUCCUGGUGCCGCCGUCGAUGGCGACACCCGCGGAGGGAGAGCGCGUCACCAUCAG